UACGUAGGUGACAAGCGUUGUCCGGAUUUACUGGGCGUAAAGAGCGCGCAGGCGGUCGUUCAAGUCGAGUGUGAAAGCCCCCGGCUCAACUGGGGAGGGUCACUCGAUACUGAUCGACUUGAAGGCAGGAGAGGGAAGCGGAAUUCCCGGUGUAGUGGUGAAAUGCGUAGAUAUCAAGAGGAACACCUGAGGUGAAGACGGGUUGCUGGGCUGACACUGACGCUGAGGCGCGAAAGCCAGGGGAGCAAACGGG
Molecule: ribosomal RNA, 253 nt
Filed under: uncultured bacterium
Lineage: Bacteria
Description: partial 16S ribosomal RNA
Rfam family: Bacterial small subunit ribosomal RNA
Source: RNAcentral